Molecule: long non-coding RNA, 448 nt
Organism: Tupaia belangeri chinensis (Chinese tree shrew)
Lineage: Eukaryota; Metazoa; Chordata; Mammalia; Scandentia; Tupaiidae
Exons: 3
Source: RefSeq, a predicted model, not a curated record
UUGAGAGACCUCUUGGACUUAUGAGGAGUAGAGGGCUAAGAACUGGAAGUCUGUAUGCUUGUGUGCCAUAUUGAUAGACUUAUUUGUUUGCUGCCACAGCUGUCAGGAGCCCAGGAUGGCUCAAUUUCCAUCCAAACUCUCAACCAGCCUUUUUCAUGUUGCAGUUGAUCCUGUUCUUCAAAAUGCCAAGGCACGAGCCACCAUUUCUUGUGAAUCAGGAUUGGUUAUAGGACCCCAGAAGGUUACAAGGAACACAUGUGCUCUGUCCACUGAAAGAGCCUAAGAGUAACAACACCUCAGAAACAAUGAACACAAGCACCAGACUGGGUUUCCAAACACCGUUUCCAAUGAGAAGUAACCAGGGUUCCUUGGAGUAAGGACAAUUCCAGGUCUGGAGCAAAGAAAAGACAAAGUUCCAAGGAAGAAAAAUGGUAUUUGCCUCGCCUUU